AUGCUCUGCGCGAUCCGCGACAUGUCCUUCUUCACCGGCAUGGACAUCAACCCGGAGGUCACGCGCUUCGUCCUCAACCCGCUCAGCGGCGAGCUCUACCGCCUCCCGGACCUCGACGGCACCAAGAGGACCACCAUGUACCAGCACCUCGGCCUCCUCACCCAGUCCGAGGGCGGGCACGGCCCCCCUGACAAGUAUGCCGUAGCCGAGAUGUUUACCAUCGGCGGCAGGGAGGAGGAGGAGGGAUUCGUCUUGCGGCGGUUUCUCUCGGAGACGGGGAAGUGGGAAAAAAUGGUGGGCUUGCCGUCCCCAUUGCCUGCCGGUCGGCGGAUGCACAUCGACAGCGCCGUGGUGCCCUUCGGCGACCGCUUGUGGUGGAUCGACGAGAGCUGGGGUGCCAUCUCCGUGGACCCGCUCAGCGAGAGGCCGGAGCUCCGGUUCGUGGAGCUGCCCAGAGGGAGCGUGCUGCCUGACCUCGAAGGCGUGGUGUUCAUGAGGAAACUCGAGCGCUACCGGCGCAUGGGGGAAAGCGAGGGGAAGCUGCGCUACAUCGAGGUGUCCAAACAGAAGCCCUACGUGGUCAGCUCCUUCUCCCUCGACGACGGUGGCAGCUCCUGGACGCUGGACCACGAGGUGGCGUUUACCACAAUUUGGGAUGAUGAACCCUUGAAGGAGAUGCCGGCAAUUGGCGCAAUUGACCCACUGAACAGCCAUGUUGUGUACCUUGUGUGCGGCAACCAGCUUCUUGGCGUGGACAUGGAGAAGGAGAGGAUAACAGGGAGCUCUCGUCUAGCUAUACCCAGUGUCCCCAUCCUACCAUGUGUCCUCCCGACGUGGCUUGAAUCAAGCCAGAUUCCCUCUGCAGGUACUAACACUCUCAUCUCCUUGAUCAGUUGUUUGAUUGACCUAUGGAAGUGGUGA
RNAcentral lists this ribosomal RNA (921 nucleotides) under Triticum aestivum (bread wheat). RNAcentral's name for it is "partial small subunit ribosomal RNA". The record is from RNAcentral. Lineage: Eukaryota; Viridiplantae; Streptophyta; Magnoliopsida; Poales; Poaceae.